AUUUCUUUAUUAAUUUUUUAUAUAUAAUUUAUAUUAAAUAUAAAAAUAUAUUUUUUAAAUAAAAAGACGAUAAGACCCUAUUAAAUUUUACUUAUAGUUUAACUGGGGAAGUUUUAAAAAUAAAAUUUUUUAUAAAAAUAAAAAUAAAUCUAAUAAAAUUAAAAUUAAAUUAAAUUACUAUAGGGAUAACAGCAUUAUAUUUUUUAAAAGUUCAUAUUAAAAAAAAUGAUUGUGACCUCGAUGUUGAAUUAUAUUUUCUUUAUUAAUGCAAUAAUUAUAAAAGUAGAUCUGUUCGAUCUUUAAAAUAUUACAUGAUUUGAGUUCAAACCGGUGUAAACCAGGUUGGUUUCUAUCUUUUUAUAAAUUCAUAUAUAUAUAUAUAUAUAUAAAUUUUUCAAGUACGAAAGGAAAAAAAAAUUUUUAUUUUAAUUAAUUAGCAAUUAAUAUGCAUUAGAUUUAGAAUCUAAAUAAACUAUUAUU
This 480-nucleotide unclassified non-coding RNA is filed under the name Anelosimus eximius. Its description in RNAcentral is "partial contains 16S ribosomal RNA and tRNA-Leu (trnL)". The stretch from base 61 to 358 matches the Rfam family "Bacterial large subunit ribosomal RNA", at positions 2074 to 2646 of the family's 2925-position model. The record is from RNAcentral. Lineage: Eukaryota; Metazoa; Arthropoda; Arachnida; Araneae; Theridiidae.